CAGCCGCCGCGGUAAUACGUAGGGUGCGAGCGUUAAUCGGAUUUACUGGGCGUAAAGCGUGCGCAGGCGGCCCGUUAAGACAGGUGUGAAAUCCCUGGGCUCAACCUAGGAAUUGCGCUUGUGACUGGCGGGCUCGAGUACGGUAGAGGGGGGUGGAAUUCCUGGUGUAGCAGUGAAAUGCGUAGAGAUCAGGAGGAACACCGAUGGCGAAGGCAGCCCCCUGGGCCUGUACUGACGCGCAUGCACGAAAGCGUGGGGAGCAAACAGGAUUAGAUACCCUGGUAGUCCACGCCCUAAACGAUGGGUACUAGCCGUUUGGUGCGCGAUAGCGCUGAGUGGCGAAGCUAACGCGUGAAGUACCCCGCCUGGGGAGUACGGCCGCAAGGUUGAAACUUAAAGGAAUUGGCGGG
This 410-nucleotide ribosomal RNA is filed under the name uncultured microorganism. RNAcentral's name for it is "bacterial SSU rRNA". It matches the Rfam family "Bacterial small subunit ribosomal RNA", at positions 509 to 917 of the family's 1533-position model. The record is from RNAcentral.